CCUACGGGGGGCAGCAGUUAGGAAUUUUGGGCAAUGGCCGCAAGGCUGACCCAGCAACGCCGCGUGCGGGACGAAGGCCUUCGGGUUGUAAACCGCUUUUCCGGGGGACGAUGAUGACGGUACCCCGGGAAGAAGCCCCGGCUAACUACGUGCCAGCAGCCGCGGUAAUACGUAGGGGGCGAGCGUUGUCCGGAUUUAUUGGGCGUAAAGCGCGCGCAGGCGGCGCCGCAAGUCGGCCGUGAAAUCUCCCAGCUCAACUGGGAGGGGUCGGGCGAGACUGCGGGGCUCGAGGCGGGCAGAGGGCAGUGGAAUUCCGGGUGUAGUGGUGGAAUGCGUAGAGAUCCGGAGGAACACCAGUGGCGAAGGCGGCUGCCUGGGCCUGGCCUGACGCUGAGGCGCGAAAGCGUGGGGAGCGAUCCGGAUUAGAUACCCUGGUAGUC
RNAcentral lists this ribosomal RNA (440 nucleotides) under uncultured bacterium. RNAcentral describes it as "bacterial SSU rRNA". It matches the Rfam family "Bacterial small subunit ribosomal RNA", at positions 338 to 795 of the family's 1533-position model. The record is from RNAcentral.